This 787-nucleotide ribosomal RNA is filed under the name Labrys sp. (in: a-proteobacteria). RNAcentral describes it as "bacterial SSU rRNA". It matches the Rfam family "Bacterial small subunit ribosomal RNA", at positions 57 to 891 of the family's 1533-position model. Lineage: Bacteria; Pseudomonadati; Pseudomonadota; Alphaproteobacteria; Hyphomicrobiales; Xanthobacteraceae. The record is from RNAcentral.
GCGAGUCGAGCGCUGUAGCAAUACAGAGCGGCAGACGGGUGAGUAACGCGUGGGGAUGUACCCAGAGGUACGGAACAACUUCGGGAAACUGGAGCUAAUACCGUAUGUGACCGAGAGGUGAAAGAUUUAUCGCCUUUGGAUCAACCCGCGUCAGAUUAGCUAGUUGGUGGGGUAAUGGCCCACCAAGGCGACGAUCUGUAGCUGGUCUGAGAGGAUGAUCAGCCACAUUGGGACUGAGACACGGCCCAAACUCCUACGGGAGGCAGCAGUGGGGAAUAUUGGACAAUGGGCGCAAGCCUGAUCCAGCCAUGCCGCGUGAGUGAUGACGGCCUUAGGGUUGUAAAGCUCUUUCGCACGCGACGAUAAUGACGGUAGCGUGAGAAGAAGCCCCGGCUAACUUCGUGCCAGCAGCCGCGGUAAUACGAAGGGGGCUAGCGUUGUUCGGAAUCACUGGGCGUAAAGCGCACGUAGGCGGAUUGUUAAGUCGGGGGUGAAAUCCUGAGGCUCAACCUCAGAACUGCCUUCGAUACUGGCGAUCUUGAGUCCGGAAGAGGAUGGUGGAACAGCGAGUGUAGAGGUGAAAUUCGUAGAUAUUCGCUAGAACACCGGUGGCGAAGGCGGCCAUCUGGUCCGGUACUGACGCUGAGGUGCGAAAGCGUGGGGAGCAAACAGGAUUAGAUACCCUGGUAGUCCACGCCGUAAACGAUGGAUGCUAGCCGUUGGGGAGCUUGCUCUUCGGUGGCGCAGUUAACACAUUAAGCAUCCCGCCUGGGGAGUACGUCGCAGA